UCCCAGUUCGGAUUGUAGUCUGCAACCCGACUACAUGAAGCUGGAAUCGCUAGUAAUCGCGGAUCAGAAUGCCGCGGUGAAUACGUUCCCGGGUCUUGUACACACCGCCCGUCACACCAUGGGAGUCGGAAAUGCCCGAAGUCUGUGACCCAACCUACGGGAGGGAGCAGCCGAAGGCAGGUCGGAUGACUGGGGUGAAGUCGUAACAAGGUAAC
This 215-nucleotide ribosomal RNA is filed under the name uncultured bacterium. RNAcentral describes it as "partial 16S ribosomal RNA". It matches the Rfam family "Bacterial small subunit ribosomal RNA", at positions 1286 to 1500 of the family's 1533-position model. The record is from RNAcentral.